RNAcentral lists this ribosomal RNA (190 nucleotides) under uncultured Porphyromonadaceae bacterium. RNAcentral's name for it is "partial 16S ribosomal RNA". It matches the Rfam family "Bacterial small subunit ribosomal RNA", at positions 338 to 525 of the family's 1533-position model. The record is from RNAcentral. Lineage: Bacteria; Pseudomonadati; Bacteroidota; Bacteroidia; Bacteroidales; Porphyromonadaceae.
UCUACGGGAGGCAGCAGUGAGGAAUAUUGGUCAAUGGACGCAAGUCUGAACCAGCCACGUCGCGUGAAGGAAGACGGCCCUACGGGUUGUAAACUUCUUUUGUAAGGGAAUAAAGUGCAGUACGCGUACUGUUUUGCAUGUACCUUACGAAUAAGGAUCGGCUAACUCCGUGCCAGCAGCCGCGGUAAUA